UGAGUAACCUGCCCUUCACUCUGGGAUAACUCCGGGAAACCGGGGCUAAUACUGGAUAUGAGACCGAUUGGCAUCUUUACGGUCUGGAAAGUUUUUCGGCCAGGGAUGGGCUCGCGGCCUAUCAGCUUGUUGGUGGGGUAACGGCCCACCAAGGCGACGACGGGUAGCCGGCCUGAGAGGGCGACCGGCCACACUGGGACUGAGACACGGCCCAGACUCCGUACGGGAGGCA
Molecule: ribosomal RNA, 232 nt
Filed under: uncultured bacterium
Lineage: Bacteria
Description: partial 16S ribosomal RNA
Rfam family: Bacterial small subunit ribosomal RNA
Source: RNAcentral